Molecule: long non-coding RNA, 313 nt
Filed under: Pan troglodytes (chimpanzee)
Lineage: Eukaryota; Metazoa; Chordata; Mammalia; Primates; Hominidae
Description: long non-coding RNA NONPTRT010953
Source: RNAcentral
UGCCUGGAUCCUGCAGGUCCCCUCGGAGCACCUGGCCAUGAACUUUCAUGAGGCAGCUGGGGGCUGAACGAGGAGGAGCGGCUGAUCCGGCACCUGUUUCAAGAGAAGGGCUACAACAAGGAGCUCCGGCCCGUGGCACACAAAGAGGAGAGUGUGGACGUUGCCCUGGCCCUCACACUCUCCAACCUCAUCUCCCUGAAAGAAGUUGAGGAGACCCUCACUACCAAUGUGUGGAUAGAGCACGGCUGGACAGACAACCGGCUGAAGUGGAAUGCUGAAGAAUUUGGAAACAUCAGUGUCCUGCGCCUCCCCC